This 533-nucleotide unclassified non-coding RNA is filed under the name Athalia rosae (coleseed sawfly). RNAcentral's name for it is "misc RNA ENSAEAG00005009066.1". The record is from RNAcentral. Lineage: Eukaryota; Metazoa; Arthropoda; Insecta; Hymenoptera; Athaliidae.
CCUGUAAUGACUAUAAGAGCGAACGAGCGAGCCAAGAAACGGGAUGAUCUGGGUCCAAGAAAGCCGCGUGGCUAUCAACGGCAUUCCACGUAAGACAAAUAUUCUCGAAUGCCCGUAUAAAAGUAUUAUUAUUCCGUCUCGUGUCAGGUAUACUAUACACACCGUGUUCCGAGGUGACUUCUAUAAACUACCGAGACGCAGCGAACGUACUAUGAGAAAAUUUUUAUAUCCGAGUAAAAGUGCCUAUUUAUUAAUUAUAAUCUUCGUAACGAUCCGGCAACACGCAUGCACGUCCUGCACUCGCUAUACUCACUCUUAGUAUACGUUUUCUUUGCGGCACCACGGGCAUCACCUCCGAUCAGCGGCAGCUCCGGGCGGGGAAAGAACAUCAAAUAAAUUAUCUACAUUUUCAUCAACCUCCGACUCACCGCCUCUUUUUAAUGCCUGUAUCCUUGUCAAGGUCAAACCCGUGCGGUUGGAGUAGAUACAAGACUUUCCCACACCCAGUCGUAAACCCACGAAUACAUUCGUUG